This 692-nucleotide ribosomal RNA is filed under the name Alicyclobacillus acidocaldarius. Its description in RNAcentral is "bacterial SSU rRNA". It matches the Rfam family "Bacterial small subunit ribosomal RNA", at positions 68 to 755 of the family's 1533-position model. The record is from RNAcentral. Lineage: Bacteria; Bacillati; Bacillota; Bacilli; Caryophanales; Alicyclobacillaceae.
GGGUCUCUUCGGAGGCCAGCGGCGGACGGGUGAGGAACACGUGGGUAAUCUGCCUUUCAGGCCGGAAUAACGCCCGGAAACGGGCGCUAAUGCCGGAUACGCCCGCGAGGAGGCAUCUUCUUGCGGGGGAAGGCCCAAUUGGGCCGCUGAGAGAGGAGCCCGCGGCGCAUUAGCUAGUUGGCGGGGUAACGGCCCACCAAGGCGACGAUGCGUAGCCGACCUGAGAGGGUGACCGGCCACACUGGGACUGAGACACGGCCCAGACUCCUACGGGAGGCAGCAGUAGGGAAUCUUCCGCAAUGGGCGCAAGCCUGACGGAGCAACGCCGCGUGAGCGAAGAAGGCCUUCGGGUUGUAAAGCUCUGUUGCUCGGGGAGAGCGGCAUGGGGGAUGGAAAGCCCCAUGCGAGACGGUACCGAGUGAGGAAGCCCCGGCUAACUACGUGCCAGCAGCCGCGGUAAAACGUAGGGGGCGAGCGUUGUCCGGAAUCACUGGGCGUAAAGGGUGCGUAGGCGGUCGAGCAAGUCUGGAGUGAAAGUCCAUGGCUCAACCAUGGGAUGGCUUUGGAAACUGCUUGACUUGAGUGCUGGAGAGGCAAGGGGAAUUCCACGUGUAGCGGUGAAAUGCGUAGAGAUGUGGAGGAAUACCAGUGGCGAAGGCGCCUUGCUGGACAGUGACUGACGCUGAGGCACG